UGAAACUGCGAAUGGCUCAUUACAUCAGUUAUAAUUUAUUUGAUAAUCGAAAGUUACAUGGAUAACCGUGACAAAUUACAGCUAAUACAUGCAGUCAGACCUGGUCCAAGGGUCGUAAUUAUUAGUAUUAAACCAUUUCCGAAAGGAGUGUGAUGAAUCAUAAUAAUCGAACGAAUCGCCUGGUGUGCGAUAAAUCAUUCAAGUUUCUGCCCUAUCAGCUUUGGAUGGUAGUGUAUUGGACUACCAUGGCAGUCACGGGUAACGGAGAAUUAGGGUUCGAUUCCGGAGAGGGAGCCUGAGAAACGGCUACCACAUCUACGGAAGGCAGCAGGAGCGAAAAUUGCCCAAUCCCGACACGGGGAGGCAGUGACGAGAAAUAACAACUCUUGGUUAUUCUAAGAAGUGUAAUGAGGAUAAUUUAAAACCCUUACCGAAAGCAAUUGGAGGGCGAGUCUGGUGCCAGCAGCCGCGGUAAUUCCAGCUCCAAUAGCGUAUAUUAAAGUUGUUGCAGUUAAAAAGCUCGUAGUUGAAGUUCUGGCUGAUCGAUCCUCGAGCUCUGUAGCCGAGGACUCGUCAGUCAUCCGCUUGCAAAUAUAUGUUCGCCUUUAACCGGGUGGCUAUAUGAGUAAGCAAUUUACCUUGAGAAAAACAGAGUGUUCCAGGCAGGUUUGUCCGGAAUGCAUUAGCAUGGAAUAAUAGAAUAUGACUGAAGUCGAUUUAUUGGUUUGAGGCUUUAGUAAUGAUUAAUAGGAACAGUCGGGGGGUAUUGGUACUUGUC
RNAcentral lists this ribosomal RNA (778 nucleotides) under uncultured eukaryote. RNAcentral describes it as "SSU rRNA". It matches the Rfam family "Eukaryotic small subunit ribosomal RNA", at positions 82 to 902 of the family's 1831-position model. The record is from RNAcentral.